UACAGAGGUCCCAAGCGUUGUUCGGAUUCACUGGGCGUAAAGGGUGCGUAGGCGGUCGGGUAAGUCUGACGUGAAAUCUUCAAGCUCAACUUGGAAACUGCGUCGGAUACUGUUCGACUCGAAGGCAGGAGAGGGAAGUGGAAUUCCCGGUGUAGUGGUGAAAUGCGUAGAUAUCGGGAGGAACACCAGUGGCGAAGGCGACUUCCUGGCCUGUUCUUGACGCUGAGGCGCGAAAGCUAGGGUAGCAAACGGG
RNAcentral lists this ribosomal RNA (253 nucleotides) under uncultured bacterium. RNAcentral describes it as "partial 16S ribosomal RNA". It matches the Rfam family "Bacterial small subunit ribosomal RNA", at positions 524 to 776 of the family's 1533-position model. The record is from RNAcentral.